UCCCGAUGACGUGUUUGCUGCUUCUCACU
RNAcentral lists this non-coding RNA (29 nucleotides) under Homo sapiens (human). Lineage: Eukaryota; Metazoa; Chordata; Mammalia; Primates; Hominidae. The record is from RNAcentral.